Molecule: RNA transcript, 2900 nt
Organism: Zea mays
Lineage: Eukaryota; Viridiplantae; Streptophyta; Magnoliopsida; Poales; Poaceae
Gene name: putative inactive poly [ADP-ribose] polymerase SRO1
Exons: 7
Source: RefSeq, marked validated
AAACGCAAUUGCUAAUAAUGCAAGUGGGGUCACGGCAAAGGUGUGGCGCGUGCGUGGACCUCGCCCUCAUCUCGUCUCCUCCGGCGGUCCGGCCUGUCCAAUAAUUCUAGUAUUCCACCGCCGCACACCUCCUGUCUUCCUUCACCUUCGCGCUCCGCCGCCGCCGUCGAUUCGUGCUGCUCUCACCCCUAACCUGUCCAACAUCGCCGGGGAGGGAAGCAGCAGAAGAAGCUCCCCUUACCUCCGGCUAUCGCCUGAGGAUAAAGUGGGGUCUGUAGGGGAGUCUUAGGGGGGAGCAAAAGGGAUAGGAUAGGGAGAGAUGAAGCAAUCAAUUUCUUCGUCCGCCUUCGCCCCUGCUUACGUCCCCGCUACUAACCCUAGUUAUGAGGUUGAACGCCUUCAGAAGCUUCUCUACUAGAUUAGUGUAAAUAGUAGACUUGUUCGAGUUUAGCUUGGCUGGAAGAAUUAGUCUCUGGUCCGUGUUUAUAUCUGCUAGCAAUAAUGGCUGCGAUGAACGGAGAGGUAUUGGGUGAAUGUGGAAGGAACAUAAAUAGUCUCAAGAGAAAGCGGGAGAGCCCCGCUGCAUAUGCUGCUGGCGUAUUCUGCACCUCUGAAUUGCAUCAGCAUACUGUCAAUGAUUCUGCUGUUAGGUUUCAUCUUGAUAAAGACCGUAAGGCAAAGAUCGUGUGCCACUUCAACAAGCAGGUUUUGCAGAGCUAUAAGAAAUUCAUGAGUAGUGCACCACCUAAGCGUAUUUUGCUUCGCCAAGGUGCUGUCUGGAAAGACUUUCCAGAAAAGAUUGUCAAAUUGGCCCAAGCUGACUUCAGGGCAAAAAAGAUGAUCACAGAAACAGGAUAUCAGAACCAGCUAUUUUUGCUGGAUUUUGCCCAUAUGACAUUCAUAGACACAAAGACAGGUUUUCAGAGGCCAAUUGCUUGGAUCGAUGAAAAUGAAAAGUGCUACUUCCCGGAAUCAUUUAUACAAGAUCAGAAGUUAUUUAUGAAGAAAGAUUUUGGCAACGGAAAUCAUGAGUACAUUAGUGAAGAGCGAAAUGGGACACGAGAAACGAAUCACCAGUUUGGAGCAUCAGAAAGUUCUGCUGAAAGCUCAAACUUUGAGUCAAGUAUUGGAGAUGUUUCUAGUCCUAAGAGAGCUAGGGCUGAAAAGAAUUUCAUUGUAAAAAAAUAUUGUGAUAUGGGAGAAGCUAUUGGAGAAAAUGAGUCAUGCACUUUGUUGCCUACAGCCUGUAACCUACUACCACACCAAGCUAAUCUGGGUGAGGUAUCCCGUGCUCAGCGCACUAUUGAAGCCGUGGAGAAGCUGUUGCUGCAGGGGAUGGGUUCAGUUAUUGAAUCCAAGGACAUUAUUGGAAUCUACAGGACUCCAUUAUUGGAUGACCACGGACAAGUCCGUUACCAUAUUCACCAAAAGCAAGUACAGGUUACCGGAUGUCAUCGUGGAAACGCAAAUGUCCGUUAUGCAUGGCUUCCUUGCUCCAAAAGCACUGUGCAUGUAAUGAUGCUGAAUGGUGUUUUGCAAGUUGAUAAGCCUCCCAAUAAGUGUGCAGCCUAUGGAGAGGGCACUCUCCUUACACCAGCAAAUCGUUCGGAUGCCUGUGUGAAAUACUCUGAUGUUGAUGAAAAUGGCAUUGUCCGUAUGAUGUUGUGCCGUGUAAUAAUGGGGAACGUAGAAAUAGUUCACCCUGGAUCUAAGCAGUGCCAACCUAGUAAUAAGUAUUUUGAUAGUGGAGUAGACGACCUUAAAAAUCCACGGCAUUACGUUGUGUGGGAUAUGAAUCUGAAUAGUCAUAUCUAUUCUGAGUUUGUAGUCACUGUCAAAUUGCCUUCUAAAACCAAAGAUUCCUUUGUAUCGCAAGAAAACUGUCAGAAUUCGUCUGAUCUAUCACUGGUGUUGAACUCUAGUUCACCUGAUUGUAUUUCACAGAAGAGUUCCACUGUUGGAGCAGCAAGAGUGCAGUAAUUCAGAUUCUGUGAUUUGACUCAAUAAUUGACAUGAUUGCAUUAUUGAGAUUAUAACUUGGAGCUGAUUAUAUUCGUUAUCUAUGAUAGAAACCUCCAAAUAUGAUAAGUUUCCCUGUGAAACCAUGCUAUUUUAGCCACGCUGGAGUUGGUUAAAGCACCAGUUAACAACUUCCUUUUAUGCAUAAAACAGGAGAUGAACCUGGAGGCACCUCCAGCAUUGGGAGGUGGAUGUGCAGCCCCCAUGCUAGGAGAUUCGAUGGAAAAGGCUCCAAGCUCACCUUGGAUGCCUUUCUCCAUGCUGUUUGCAGCGAUCUCUACCAAAGUGUCUCCUGAGAAUAUGGACGUGAUUAUUGGUUGCUAUGAAGAGUUUAAGAGCAAGAAAAUAAGCCGAGGUGAACUAGUGAAGAAGCUGAGGCAUGUAGUUGGUGAUAGAGUGCUAAUAUCGACGAUAAUGCGUCUCCAAGAUAAGCAGUUACCUCCAGUGGAUAAGCGUGAGGAACCAGACACAUCGGCGUCCAAGGUGGUGGCGGAACCAUGAGAUGGGUGUCAGGAGGUGGGCGAGGAAUGCAGAAAGGGAGGAACCAGCCGACUUGACAUAGAAAACCCUGUGGGAAGCAGCAACUAUGAAGCCUCUUGCAUCAGUCUUGUGCAUGGAGGCUGCUGUUUGUUCUCUGUAUCGUAGGUGUCUACGUUUGCGAGGAAAUUGUAUCCGGUGUUUCUCUUUCUUCAAAUUAAACCACGCACAUGCAGCUGCCGUACUUUUUGGACCAUUGAAGUGUUUCGUCCGUGAAAAAGGCUCCUUUUACCUUCCCGUUUGCCUUCCUAAGAGCAUCUCCAGUAGUUUUGUAAAAUAAAACUCCCUAAAAGACGAUGUAGAGAGUUGCUAAAUAAUAAUAGAGAGUAAAAAAUUGCAUGUUC